Molecule: long non-coding RNA, 338 nt
Filed under: Brassica napus (rape)
Lineage: Eukaryota; Viridiplantae; Streptophyta; Magnoliopsida; Brassicales; Brassicaceae
Description: long non-coding RNA (BNAP_LNC005129)
Source: RNAcentral
GCAUCACUAAUGUAUCUAAACGUAGCAUAGUACAAAUUCGGAAAAUAAAAGGUGAACAAGUUUAGUUACUAGUAUUCAAAAAGGCUUUCGCCUAGGGCCCCUAAAAUGUAUGAUUUUUUCAGAGCCCCAAAUUUCAGAAAAUAAUUAGUAGUAGAGUGGUUUAAGUUUGCCAUUUAUUUGAUAAACUGAAAUCAGCAAGUGAAGAUAGUUUGAUUGCAUAUUGUACCAAUAUUCAAGCAGCUUUAAGGCAUGUAAAUCAUUCUGAUGUUAUUAGGGAUUAUUUGUGUUUGAACUGAUGGUUUUAAAAGAGUCGUUGCCAUUAGAUUACAAGAGACCUC